This 253-nucleotide ribosomal RNA is filed under the name uncultured bacterium. RNAcentral describes it as "partial 16S ribosomal RNA". It matches the Rfam family "Bacterial small subunit ribosomal RNA", at positions 524 to 776 of the family's 1533-position model. The record is from RNAcentral.
GCCGUAGGAUGCAAUCGUUGUCCGGAUUUAUUGGGCGUAAAGAGUUCGUAGGUGGUUUGUUAAGUCUGAUGUUAAAGACUGGGGCUCAACCUCGGAAAUGCAUUGGAUACUGGCAGACUUGAGUGUGGUAGAGGCAAUCGGAAUUCCAGGUGUAGCGGUGAAAUGCGUAGAUAUCUGGAAGAACACCGGUGGCGCAAGCGGAUUGCUGGGCCAUAACUGACACUGAGGAACGAAAGCUAGGGUAGAGAAAGGG